RNAcentral lists this ribosomal RNA (505 nucleotides) under uncultured bacterium. RNAcentral's name for it is "bacterial SSU rRNA". It matches the Rfam family "Bacterial small subunit ribosomal RNA", at positions 15 to 507 of the family's 1533-position model. The record is from RNAcentral.
GAUCAUGGCUCAGAUUGAACGCUGGCGGCAGGCCUAACACAUGCAAGUCGAACGGGUAACAGGAAGAAGGCUUGCUUCUUUGCUGACGAGUGGCGGACGGGUGAGUAAUGUCUGGGAAACUGCCUGAUGGAGGGGGAUAACUACUGGAAACGGUAGCUAAUACCGCAUAACGUCGCAAGACCAAAGAGGGGGACCUUCGGGCCUCUUGCCAUCGGAUGUGCCCAGAUGGGAUUAGCUAGUAGGUGGGGUAACGGCUCACCUAGGCGACGAUCCCUAGCUGGUCUGAGAGGAUGACCAGCCACACUGGAACUGAGACACGGUCCAGACUCCUACGGGAGGCAGCAGUGGGGAAUAUUGCACAAUGGGCGCAAGCCUGAUGCAGCCAUGCCGCGUGUAUGAAGAAGGCCUUCGGGUUGUAAAGUACUUUCAGCGGGGAGGAAGGGAGUAAAGUUAAUACCUUUGCUCGUUGACGUUACCCGCAGAAGAAGCACCGGCUAACUCCGUG